AACGAACGCUGGCGGCAUGCCUAACACAUGCAAGUCGAACGAAACCUUCGGGUCUAUUGGCGCACGGGUGCGUAACGCGUGGGAACCUGCCCUUAGGUUCGGAAUAACUCCCCGACAGGGGUGCUAAUACCGGAUAAUAUCUUCGGACCAAGGAUUUAUCGCCUUUGGUUGUACCCGCGUUGGAUUAGCUCGUUGUUAGGGUAAAAGCCUACCAAGGCGACGAUCCAUAGCUGGUCUGAGAGGAUGAUCAGCCACACUGGGACUGAGACACGGCCGAGAAUCCUACGGGAGGGAGCAGUGGGGAACAGUGGAAAAUGGGGGAAAGCCUGAACGAGUAAUGACGCGUGAGUGAUGAAGGCCGUAGGGUUGUAAAGUUCAUGUAACCGGGAUGAUAAUGACAGUACCGGGAGAAUAAGCCACGGCUAACUACGUG
This 433-nucleotide ribosomal RNA is filed under the name uncultured bacterium. RNAcentral's name for it is "partial 16S ribosomal RNA". It matches the Rfam family "Bacterial small subunit ribosomal RNA", at positions 29 to 507 of the family's 1533-position model. The record is from RNAcentral.